ACGGGAGGCAGCAGUCGGGAAUAUUGCGCAAUGGAGGAAACUCUGACGCAGUGACGCCGCGUAUAGGAAGAAGUUUUUCGGAAUGUAAACUAUUGUCGUUAGGGAAGAGAAAGGACGGUACCUAAGGAGGAAGCCCCGGCUAACUAUGUGCCAGCAGCCGCGGUAAUACAUAGGGGGCAAGCGUUAUCCGGAAUUAUUGGGUGUAAAGGGUGCGUAGACGGGAAAUUAAGUUAGUUGUGAAAUCCCCAGGCUUAACUUGGGAACUGCAACUAAAACUGGUUUUCUUGAGUACUGGAGAGGAAAGUGGAAUUCCUAGUGUAGCGGUGAAAUGCGUAGAUAUUAGGAGGAACACCAGUGGCGAAGGCGACUUUCUGGACAGAAACUGACGUUGAGGCACGAAAGUGUGGGGAGCAAACAGGAUUAGAUACCCUGGUA
This 435-nucleotide ribosomal RNA is filed under the name uncultured Oscillospiraceae bacterium. Its description in RNAcentral is "bacterial SSU rRNA". It matches the Rfam family "Bacterial small subunit ribosomal RNA", at positions 341 to 792 of the family's 1533-position model. Lineage: Bacteria; Bacillati; Bacillota; Clostridia; Eubacteriales; Oscillospiraceae. The record is from RNAcentral.